GCCAAUGUAAUAUAGUGGUUUGAGUGUUGGAUUUCAACCCUGAAGAUCAGGGUUCAAAUCCCUACUCAGGCU
Phrynosoma platyrhinos (Desert horned lizard) is the source of this 72-nucleotide non-coding RNA. The record is from the annotation of a GenBank genome assembly. Lineage: Eukaryota; Metazoa; Chordata; Lepidosauria; Squamata; Phrynosomatidae.